UACGUAGGGCGCAAGCGUUGUCCGGAAUUAUUGGGCGUAAAGAGCUCGUAGGCGGCCUGUUGCGUCCGCUGUGAAAUCCCGGGGCUCAACCCCGGGCGUGCAGUGGAUACGGGCUGGCUGGAGGCAGGCAGGGGAGAACGGAAUUCCUGGUGUAGCGGUGAAAUGCGCAGAUAUCAGGAGGAACACCGGUGGCGAAGGCGGGUCUCUGGGCCGUAACUGACGCUGAGGAGCGAAAGCGUGGGGAGCGAACAGG
RNAcentral lists this ribosomal RNA (253 nucleotides) under uncultured bacterium. RNAcentral's name for it is "partial 16S ribosomal RNA". It matches the Rfam family "Bacterial small subunit ribosomal RNA", at positions 524 to 776 of the family's 1533-position model. The record is from RNAcentral.